UGCUGGUCCGAAGGUAGUGAGUUACCGCGAUUGUUCACAGUCAGAUACAGAUCGAACUCCUUGUUCUACUCUUUCCCCCUUCUCACUACUGCACUUGACUAAUCUUAA
RNAcentral lists this Y RNA (108 nucleotides) under Saimiri boliviensis boliviensis (Bolivian squirrel monkey). RNAcentral's name for it is "Y RNA (ENSSBOG00000004351.1)". It matches the Rfam family "Y RNA". Rfam says of the family: Y RNAs are components of the Ro ribonucleoprotein particle (Ro RNP), in association with Ro60 and La proteins. The Y RNAs and Ro60 and La proteins are well conserved, but the function of the Ro RNP is not known. Lineage: Eukaryota; Metazoa; Chordata; Mammalia; Primates; Cebidae. The record is from Rfam by way of RNAcentral.